UUACCAAUGUGCCGCCCAACAGUAUCACCGCCAUUGCAAUGUGACACUGUCACUAUCACCAUCCCAAUAUCAUCCACUGCCAUUGCAAUGUUCUCGAAACAAAUUUAUCAAGUUUUUUUUCUCUUUCUCUAAAGCAGUUUUGACAUUAAUAUUUUUUUUUUUGGGUGAUAUUUUGGACAUUAAUAUUAUCAACUAGAUUUCUUGUUUUGUUUUGAAAAACAAGUUUCGAAAUUUGUUUUAUAAAAUUAUUUUUCUAAAUAAAAAAUCAGGAACAAAAUACAAUGAGCCCCAAUAUAUCCUCCUGCUCAAUCCUAUAUAUCUAGUCAAACAUAAUAUUUUAAGCACAAUUUUUUCACUUAAUAUUUUAUAAAUCAUCUAUAAAAUUUUGAACACUAUUUUUAGGAGAACAAUUGUUGACUCAUCCUUAGUCUCUAGAAGUACCUGCACAGGCAAUUCCUUAAACUUUGUAUUCCUCAAGAUGCAGCCACUUAGUUGAAGACCAUUUAUUUCCUCUAAUUACUGGGCAACCGC
RNAcentral lists this long non-coding RNA (531 nucleotides) under Trifolium pratense (red clover). RNAcentral describes it as "long non-coding RNA (TPRA_LNC003290)". Lineage: Eukaryota; Viridiplantae; Streptophyta; Magnoliopsida; Fabales; Fabaceae. The record is from RNAcentral.